RNAcentral lists this signal recognition particle RNA (286 nucleotides) under Vombatus ursinus (common wombat). RNAcentral's name for it is "Metazoan signal recognition particle RNA (ENSVURG00010006380.1)". It matches the Rfam family "Metazoan signal recognition particle RNA". From Rfam's summary of the family: The signal recognition particle (SRP) is a universally conserved ribonucleoprotein. Lineage: Eukaryota; Metazoa; Chordata; Mammalia; Diprotodontia; Vombatidae. The record is from Rfam by way of RNAcentral.
GGUACAUGCCUGUAAUCCCAUAACAGGGAGCCUGAGACUGAUAGAUCUCUUCCCUUCAAGAGCCCUGAGCUACAGUGGGUUAUGCCAAUCAGCCAUCCACACUGAGUUCAACCUCAAUAUGGGAAACACAUGAGAGCAAAGGGCAGCCAGGUUGCCUAAGCAAAGGGCUAACUGACCCAGGUCAGAAAUGGAGUGGGUCAAAGCUCCCAUGAUUAUCAGUAGUGGGACUGACCCAUAAGUAGCCUCUGCAUUUCCAGCCUGGCAAGAUAAGGAGACCCAGUCUUAA